UGGACAACAGGUAGAGAUUCCUGUACCAGUGCUAAUUGUUUAACCGAUGGGGUGACACAGAAGGAUAGGGAAUCGCACGAAUGGAAAUGUGCGUCCAAGCAGUGAGUGUGAGAAGUAGGCAAAUCCGCUUCUCGCGAAGCAUGAGCUGUGAUGGGGAAGGAAAUUAAGUACGGAAGUUCCUGAUUUCACGCUGUCAAGAAAAGCCUCUAGGAAGAGUAGUACUGCCCGUACCGCAAACCGACACAGGUAGAUGAGGAGAGAAUCCUAAGGUGAGCGAGAGAACUCUCGUUAAGGAACUCGGCAAAAUGACCCCGUAACUUCGGGAGAAGGGGUGCUCUAUUAGGGUGCAAGCCCGAGAGAGCCGCAGUGAAUAGGCCCAGGCGACUGUUUAGCAAAAACACAGGUCUCUGCAAAACCGUAAGGUGACGUAUAGGGGCUGACGCCUGCCCGGUGCUGGAAGGUUAAGAGGAGUGCUUAGCUUCGGCGAAGGUACGAAUUGAAGCCCCAGUAAACGGCGGCCGUAACUAUAACGGU
RNAcentral lists this ribosomal RNA (534 nucleotides) under Listeria monocytogenes. RNAcentral's name for it is "partial 23S ribosomal RNA". It matches the Rfam family "Bacterial large subunit ribosomal RNA", at positions 1419 to 1949 of the family's 2925-position model. Lineage: Bacteria; Bacillati; Bacillota; Bacilli; Caryophanales; Listeriaceae. The record is from RNAcentral.